GAUGAACGCUAGCUACAGGCUUAACACAUGCAAGUCGAGGGGAAACGACAUCGAAAGCUUGCUUUUGAUGGGCGUCGACCGGCGCACGGGUGAGUAACGCGUAUCCAACCUGCCCAUCACUUGGGAAUAACCUUGCGAAAGUAAGACUAAUACCCAAUGAUAUCCCACGAAGGCAUCGGAAUGGGAUUAAAGAUUUAUCGGUGAUGGAUGGGGAUGCGUCUGAUUAGCUUGUUGGCGGGGUAACGGCCCACCAAGGCAACGAUCAGUAGGGGUUCUGAGAGGAAGGUCCCCCACAUUGGAACUGAGACACGGUCCAAACUCCUACGGGAGGCAGCAGUGAGGAAUAUUGGUCAAUGGGCGAGAGCCUGAACCAGCCAAGUAGCGUGCAGGAAGACGGCCCUAUGGGUUGUAAACUGCUUUUAUAAGGGAAUAAAGUGGGUCACGUGUGACUUUUUGCAUGUACCUUAUGAAUAAGGCCCGGCUAAUUCCGUG
Molecule: ribosomal RNA, 492 nt
Filed under: uncultured bacterium
Lineage: Bacteria
Description: partial 16S ribosomal RNA
Rfam family: Bacterial small subunit ribosomal RNA
Source: RNAcentral